GAUGAACGCUGGCGGCGUGCCUAACACAUGCAAGUCGAGCGAGAACCGCUGGAAUGACACUUCGGUAGAAUGAAAGCGGGGAAAGCGGCGGACGGGUGAGUAACGCGUAGGUAACCUGCCCCAUACACAGGGAUAGCCUAGGGAAACCUGGAUUAAUACCUGAUGAAGCAACUGGUCGCAUGACCGGCUGCCAAAGAUUUAUCGGUAUGGGAUGGACCUGCGUCUGAUUAGUGAGUUGGUGGGGUAAUGGCCUACCAAAGCGACGAUCAGUAGCCGACCUGAGAGGGUGAUCGGCCACAUUGGAACUGAGACACGGUCCAAACUCCUGCGGGAGGCAGCAGUGGGGGAUAUUGCACAAUGGGCGGAAGCCUGAUGCAGCAACGCCGCGUGAGCGAAGAAGGUCUUCGGAUCGUAAAGCUCUGUCCUGGGGGAAGAACAAAUGACGGUACCCCGGGAGGAAGCCCCGCGUAACUACGUGCCAGCAGCCGCGGUAAAACGU
RNAcentral lists this ribosomal RNA (499 nucleotides) under uncultured bacterium. RNAcentral's name for it is "bacterial SSU rRNA". It matches the Rfam family "Bacterial small subunit ribosomal RNA", at positions 28 to 528 of the family's 1533-position model. The record is from RNAcentral.